This is a long non-coding RNA of Hyla sarda, 373 nucleotides long. RefSeq lists it as uncharacterized. Lineage: Eukaryota; Metazoa; Chordata; Amphibia; Anura; Hylidae. The transcript is spliced from 3 exons. The record is from RefSeq and is a predicted model, not a curated record.
GGUACAGCUCACCCUCCCGUCUAGACCGCGACCCGGACAAGACCGGACCCAGGUCUCCUGACGAUAAUGGACAAAGGAAGCAAAGUCCAGCUCAGUCUCAAAGCAAUGCGUGUAGUUUAUUCAGCAAUCAGCCAACAUGGAGAACAGGGGAUUAUUCAGGAUUACAAAAACAGAGCUGAUUUCUUCAAAAACAGCACCACCAUACAGAAGUGUCCCUUGUAUCACUACAAGAGGUGACUGACUGUCACAUGCGAUUGCUCUCCAGAUUAUCACACCAGCAGUUGGGGCAGCCGUCGUUCUACAGCAAAGAAAGCAGCAUCAUGGUGGACUCACAACACAGCCAUUUAGCCCCAAGACAAACAUGGAUCCUUCC